This 402-nucleotide ribosomal RNA is filed under the name Verrucomicrobiota bacterium. RNAcentral's name for it is "Verrucomicrobia bacterium partial 16S ribosomal RNA". It matches the Rfam family "Bacterial small subunit ribosomal RNA", at positions 355 to 776 of the family's 1533-position model. The record is from RNAcentral. Lineage: Bacteria; Pseudomonadati; Verrucomicrobiota.
UGGGGAAUUUUGCACAAUGGGGGAAACCCUGAUGCAGCGACGCCGCGUGAUUUAGAAGGCCUUCGGGUUGUAAAAAUCUUUUGUAUGGGAAGAAAAUGACAGUACCAUAAGAAUAAGGUCCGGCUAAAUACGUGCCAGCAGCCGCGGUAAUACGUAUGGACCGAGCGUUGUCCGGAAUCAUUGGGCGUAAAGGGUACGUAGGCGGCCCAGUAAGUUAGAAGUGAAAUAAUAUAGCUCAACUAUAUAAAGCUUUUAAAACUGCUAGGCUUGAGAGAUGGAAGGGAAAGUGGAAUUCCUAGUGUAGCGGUGAAAUGCGCAGAUAUUAGGAAGAAUACCGGUGGCGAAGGCGACUUUCUGGUCAUCAUCUGACGCUGAGGUACGAAAGCGUGGGUAGCAAACAGG